UCCCAGACUCCUACGGGAGGCAGCAGUGGGGAAUAUUGCACAAUGGGGGAAACCCUGAUGCAGCGACGCCGCGUGAGUGAAGAAGUAAUUCGUUACGUAAAGCUCUAUCAGCAGGGAAGAAAAUGACGGUACCUGAGUAAGAAGCCCCGGCUAACUACGUGCCAGCAGCCGCGGUAAUACGUAGGGGGCGAGCGUUAUCCGGAUCCACUGGGUGUAAAGGGAGCGUAGACGGCCAUGCAAGCCAGGGGUGAAAGCCCGGGGCCCAACCCCGGGACUGCCCUUGGAACUGCAUGGCUGGAGUGCGGGAGGGGCAGGCGGAAUUCCUGGUGUAGCGGUGAAAUGCGUAGAUAUCAGGAGGAACACCGGCGGCGAGGGCGGCCUGCUGGACCGCGACUGACGUUGAGGCUCGAAAGCGUGGGGAGCGAACAGGAUUAGAUACCCGCGUACC
Molecule: ribosomal RNA, 448 nt
Filed under: uncultured bacterium
Lineage: Bacteria
Description: bacterial SSU rRNA
Rfam family: Bacterial small subunit ribosomal RNA
Source: RNAcentral